This 253-nucleotide ribosomal RNA is filed under the name uncultured bacterium. Its description in RNAcentral is "partial 16S ribosomal RNA". It matches the Rfam family "Bacterial small subunit ribosomal RNA", at positions 524 to 776 of the family's 1533-position model. The record is from RNAcentral.
UACGUAGGUGGCAAGCGUUGUCCGGAUUUACUGGGCGUAAAGAGCGCGCAGGCGGUCGUUCAAGUCGCGUGUGAAAGCCCCCGGCUCAACUGGGGAGGGUCACGCGAUACUGAUCGACUCGAAGGCAGGAGAGGGUAGUGGAAUUCCCGGUGUAGUGGUGAAAUGCGUAGAUAUCGGGAGGAACACCAGUGGCGAAGGCGGGUUGCUGGGCCGACACUGACGCUGAGGCGCGAAAGCCAGGGGAGCGAACGGG